RNAcentral lists this long non-coding RNA (387 nucleotides) under Falco tinnunculus (common kestrel). RNAcentral's name for it is "lncRNA (ENSFTIG00000010656.1)". Lineage: Eukaryota; Metazoa; Chordata; Aves; Falconiformes; Falconidae. The record is from RNAcentral.
AUGACCUUUCCAAGCUCUUGUGGGCUGGUGCUGUUGGAGUGGAGCUUCUACAGCUUGGGAAGCUCGGAAAAAGAAAGGGAAAAACCAAACAAAAAGACCAAAGCGGCAUUCACCCUCCUCGAGUGCGUGCGUCUGUCUGUGGGCAUCACAGCCCUCUUGGAGCAAGGUGGGCAGCAGCAGCUCCAGAGCAAACACCCUCCAGGGGUGGCAGCGUGGAGUCGUGUGAUUGUGCUCUGCGCUUCUAAGGAGCAAUACUGCGCUUUGCAAUCAAUGGAGCUUAAAAAUACAAUGGCCAGGGCACCUCGUGGGCACAAGUCCUUGCCCCCCGCAGGAAACACCACCGCAGCGGAGGCGAUGUGAAGCCCACUCCAGUGAUGCUGGGUGACG